AUCCUUUUGUAGUUCAUUAGCAUAAUGAUUGGGUUUUCACACUUAGGUGUGAGAAGUGCCUCUCUCAAACCUUGUUACGAUGAUGGCACAUUACCUAUCUGGCA
RNAcentral lists this small nucleolar RNA (104 nucleotides) under Pan paniscus (pygmy chimpanzee). RNAcentral describes it as "Small nucleolar RNA U13". It matches the Rfam family "Small nucleolar RNA U13". Lineage: Eukaryota; Metazoa; Chordata; Mammalia; Primates; Hominidae. The record is from Rfam by way of RNAcentral. RNAcentral also lists the same sequence under 1 other name.